Zea mays is the source of this 350-nucleotide long non-coding RNA. RefSeq lists it as uncharacterized. The transcript has 3 exons. The record is from RefSeq and is a predicted model, not a curated record. Lineage: Eukaryota; Viridiplantae; Streptophyta; Magnoliopsida; Poales; Poaceae.
AUAACAAGGUUUGGAUCGUACUGUUGUUAAUGUUUAUUUGUAAAUGAUGUAUAAUGAUCUUUCAUCCAAAUUUUCAGGAAAUUCAAGACGUAUCUAUUAUACUUGAACAAGGUGUGGCCAAUGAUCAAAUACAUAUACCAGUACGUCCAUUAGAAGAGGUUAAUUUGCAUGAUCACGCAAUAAUGAAUGUUAGUGGUGUCAGUGAACAAAAUGAUAAUGCCAGAAAGAAACUGGAAUUUGCAGUCGAUGGGAUAAGCUUGGCAAGACCAAAUAACUCAAGACCCAAAGGAAGAACAAUAAAGGGGAGUGAAGAAAGGGUUAUUAAAUUGGGAGCAAAAGGUACAAAGAAA